RNAcentral lists this long non-coding RNA (1104 nucleotides) under Parus major (Great Tit). RNAcentral's name for it is "lncRNA (ENSPMJG00000012197.1)". Lineage: Eukaryota; Metazoa; Chordata; Aves; Passeriformes; Paridae. The record is from RNAcentral.
CCUGCAUCUACGGUCUCACAGCACAGAGAAAAGAAAUCCUGAUUAAAUCUGACAAUUUCAAUUUGCUAUGAGAACAUCAUGAGCUAUUUUAUGUUUCCCCAGAAGCUUGUUGGAAUUUACCUUGGAAGUUUUGGAGCUGGGUUUUCUUGGCGACAGCGGGGGCAGUCGUUUCUGAACAAACAAGAUUGAAAUUUGUGUCUCAGUGAAGUGGUGCUGGGAGAUUGUUUGUCCUGCUGCACCGGGGCCGUUUCCGACACUCGGUGCCAGCUGAACUUCCUCCAUGUGCUGGAGGUGGACAGGAAUGUGGUGCAUUCACAAGAUGUGCCUCAGCUGAGGUUGUGCUGUGCUCCAAAGGCAUCUCAGGCAGGGAUGAGUGUGGGAACUGCUGGGGACAUCUGCUUUGAGCUGAUGAGGAGCUGAGUUGUACCUGUGCUUUGGAGUCCAGGGGUGCUGAGCUCCUGCACCUAGCCAUGGCCAGGGGGUUCCUGCGAAUGCAGCAGCUGAGAACAAACAAACCAACAAAAACCCAGGUCUGCAGCUCUCUUGCACCAUCCUUUUCUCCCCUUAGGCCUCAAGGGGAUUGUUCCAGCCCUGACUGCCAUCACCCCCUUAACUCCUGGCACCUGCUGCCUGCUCAUAUUAAAAGCAGAACAGCUGAAGUUCUGGAAAUGAACAGAGUUGCCCAUUUGAAGUCCAGCAAUCCUUGCACCACUUCCAGUUCAGUGCUUAUCUUCUUUGUCCACUUCUUUCCCCAUACAGGUGCUUGCUACUUUCUUUUGCUUUCUAAUUUCUUGAUUUUUAAUAUCUUCCUUAAUUUUUUGCCCCGCUUUUAGAGAUAUGGCUCUAUCCUUUGCUCAAUGAUAUUCCAGGUAAAGUAAGUUUAUGUUCUUGAUUUUGUUUCCUUUACAUUUUGGAGAGGCUCUUCAGAAGUACCCCAAAAUAACCCCAACUUUCAUGUUUUCACAUGAAAAAAAAAUCAACUGCAGUAGGCUUCUGGUUUAUUCCUGUUUAUUGUUAUCAAUAUUUCUUUGGUGUUUCCUUGCUAUUUUCAGUCUUGUCUAGAUUGUAAAUAAAUUGGCUCAGGAUCUUGGUUUUUUAUUAUUG